Acinonyx jubatus (cheetah) is the source of this 5516-nucleotide long non-coding RNA. RefSeq lists it as uncharacterized. The transcript has 3 exons. The record is from RefSeq and is a predicted model, not a curated record. NCBI's taxonomy places the organism in Eukaryota, Metazoa, Chordata, Mammalia, Carnivora, Felidae.
GAAGCACCUCCCCCAAAUCACCCGAUUGUUGUGUGAGGGAGGAACCGUGGCCCACGCGUUCCCCGCUGGGACCUCCUCCGCGGCGCGCUCCAGCGCUCGGGUCGAAGCCCUGCCCCCCCCCCCCGCCCCCCGCGCUGUGUCCCCUAUUCAGGGGGGUAGGGGUGUGAGCGGUUAGUAUAGGACCUUGGUCUCCUCGGACUUCUCCAAUGUGGGAGUGGAAAGCAAGGAAAAGGCAGGUUCUAAGGAGUGCCCUCAGGACUCGCUGUCCAGGAUUUGAUGGACAAGUCCUUGUUCUACCAAAAAGGGAAGUAAGACUUACCAGUUUGCUCUAGGAAGCAGAAAUUAAUCACAAGUCUGAGAACAACUUCUGUACAAGCAUCUCAGUAGGAGUAUUUGGGAAUCUAGCAUCAGUGCUUCAUUUUCAGUGUAGCUUACCCAGCUCUGCUUAUUUGGACUUUCUGGAACACAGCUCUGAUGAAGUCACUCUCCUAUACAAGAAAUUCAAGAUAGGAUUCAAGAAACAAUGAUUUCAACCGGCCUACCUUUCCAAUCUCAUCUGUAGGAUGUAUUAUAUUACAGUAAAAGUAAAAUGUUGGGAAAUGGACUGGACUUUCUUACCUCAUUUGGUCAACUUCUGGGACAUCUAAAUCUUGAUGUAAUACGGAAAUAAGUUGGACCUGCACCCAGCUAUAAUAGUAACCAAAGGAGCUUCUCUUUGAAAAGAGCAUAAAGGACUCAUUGGAAAUUGCUAACGAGACAUUUUGAAAAUAGACAAUAAAUCCUAGUUAUACAUAUGCGAAACUAUAAAAUUUGUAUUAUGGAAAAUUUUUAGUUUACUAAAACUCAUGCCUUUCCUGACACCCUCAAAAGGAGGUGGCAACUAAAAAAGAGAGAUUUUAAAUAACUCUAUAGAAGAUAGAAGAGAGAUAAAAAGAAAAAAGGGUUGCUAGAGCAGAAACUUUACAAACCAGAGCCAGUAGGUCAGCAGGAGCUAUUGGAGAAAGGAUUGAGAAGGAGAUAGGUGGCUGGGGAAGAGAGGAGCUUCAGAAGAAGAACAGAUGUGAUCAAUAGGAUUUUCAUCCGGAUUUCAGGCACAAUGUGUAAUGUAACCUUGCUUCUCUUUCAUUCCCCAUAUAGUCCUUAGUAAAGUAUCCAACUCUCUCCAAAGUCUUAGGGAGUUGAUUUUCUUUGUGGAACUCCUAAGAGGUGCUGAGUUGGCCUCCAACAAACAGAUUGAGAAUGUAGAGGGCCCUUGAACACAGCCAUGUCUUGGUUAAACCAUUAACGUACAAUGAAUAUACAGCGACUCUGAUGACAGUUCCAAGUCCUCCUUGGGAAGAAAAUGGCAAUCAUUGGAUUCAAUCACUCAAUAACUGGCAAUAAGUUGAUCCAGAAUGAUUUUCCCCCUAUAUAUUCUACUCUAUUUUUGUCCAGCAAAACCCAUGCUGCAUCUUGCUUUAGAAAUUUUACUGUGAUAUAUCUUGAUCUUUACUUGGGCACUUGCCCCUAGUGCAGUCCAUAUAUACAGAAAUCUAUUUAUAGCUUCUAUGGAAAAGUUUUUCUUUUCAAUAUGAUCUUUAAGUGCUGACUGGCUGCAAACAAUGAUAUUCUCUACGUCUGCCAUCUCUUUGUAAUAUCAGUGACCAUCUAAGCUCUUACUCACAAUGAACAAGCAAGUUAGAGAUGGGGUUUAAACCCUCUAGUAGGAUACAGUUGCUUCCUGCUUCACAUGAGAUCUGAAAAUAGAUUGCUCUACAUUGACAGUGACAAGACCCUUUCUGUCAACACUGUGAAGCUUCUAUCCUUCCUAAUCUCUGUCAGCGAUGGCUUAGGAAUGCCAAAAUACUUUAAUAGCUUAUGGGGCCAGUGUACAAAUGAUUGAUAUCUUAACUGUAUAUGAAAUUCCAGGACAGGCAGAGAAAUCAGAAGACUGGGGGAAAAGAGUCUAAAUGCAUUGCUUACUUUGGGGUUGGUUAAUCGACAUAUGUUCUACCAGUUUCCAUUGCUGUACCUCUCCUCUGUUGUCUUAUCUGAGAAUAUCUUCUUUUUUCACUUCAGUCUAUCUAAAAUUCACAUAGCUUAACCUAACUUCUAUUUUCCCUUAAUUUUGAGGCUUUUGCCAAAUUAAAAGUGAUUUCAUUCUCUACUGAACUUUUGUUUUACCUUUUUUAUGGUAUGUUUACAUUAUCUUAUGAUUUGAUUGCUUUCAUAACAUUAUAACACUCCCACUAGACUACCCAUACUCACCUUUAAAUGCACAGUGAAUAUAUAGGGCUCUAAGCUCGUUGAGAAACAAUGUGCAUGUGUGUACCUGCAUGUGGACACACACACGUGCACACACACACACACACAAACUAGAAGGAAAUAAACAAAAUGGUGGUAAUUGUACUUUCUGGCCUAUAGGCAUCUGUAUGAUCUCCAAUUUCUUCCUUUUACUUAUCUCUAUUUUUGAAAAAUGUCCAUCAUAAUAUCCAUUACUUUUUUUAAUGUAAAAUACAAUAAUAAACAUUUUUGAUCAGAAAUUCAAAUAUCUGAGUACUCCCUUUUCCAAACUUUUUUCCCCCCAAAAUACUCUCAAAUGAUAUCAAUAAAAUACAAGCCACUGACCAUGUAGGGUUAUUUGCAGGAAGGAUAAAUAAUCUUAGUUCUCAUGUUCAAUAAUGAAAACAAACUCAAGUAGCACCAGUUCAAGUGGUUUUCAAACUACUUUUUUAAAUGUUUAUUUAUUUAUUUUUGAGACAGAGAGAGAGAGAGAGAGAGAGGGAGAAUGCGCAAGGAGUAGGGGAAGACAGAGGAAGAGAGAGAGAAUUCCAAGCAGGAUUCACACUGUCAGUGUGGAGACUGACACAGGGCUCAAACUCAUGAAUGGUCAGAUCAUGACCUGAGCCAAAAUCAAGAGCUGGAUGCUUAACCAACUAAGCCACCCAAGCACCCCUCAAACUAUUUUUUAAGUAUAAUUCUGUUUUCACACAAAAUCUUACACAGACUCUUAAUAUUUAAAUAAUUUACACCAAGGUACAGGUUUCUCAGGUGGUCCUAAAUCUCUAGUGGUUGGAGCAAAUAUGCAUUUCCUUGGCUAGGAAAUCCCUAAAUCACUUUCAUGGAAUCUUGGGGUUCCUCUAGUCCAAUCCCCUUAUUUUUACUAUAGAGGAAAAUGAGAUGCAGAGAGGUUGUAAUAUCUGUCAAGAUAACUCAGCUGGUAACUAGAGCUUACACUUUCUAAGUCUAAGGUUCUGGCUAUUAUGCCAUAAUGUCCUAAUUCCUAAUUGCAAUUAUUUUAGAGCAUUACAUUUCUCUGACUCAAUUCUAGAUUGUGACAUACACGUGAUUUGAAUUCCUGGCUCCUUACCCUUUGCUAGUCUUCAAUGUCUAGAGUCCUGCUUUCAUUUGAGACCUCAGAGAUGGUUUCCCUGCCAAAAAUCUGAUACUCAAUAGCUUUUAUCUGAUUUCCCAGGGCUUGUCUUAAUGCCUGGCCUAUUAUCUGACCAUAUGCUCAUUGCUACAUUGUUCCUCUUUUGACAGACAGGAUUUGUUUGAACCUGAAGGUUCAUCUUUUCUGUCUAUUACACAUUUGGGCUGACCUUGCAUUUUGAAAGCACUUCAGCUUCCACGUGCCUUUCUCUAAACUUACCACCGCCAAGCUGAGCAACACAUUUAGACUUUUCCGCGAUUAUGCUUUCUCUUUUUUGCCAAGCCCAUAGAGAAAAUCCUUGAGUACAUUCUGUCUUGGUCUUCUAAGAAUGAUUGAAGUGAUAUAGAACUUCUUUUUUUUUUUUUCAUGCACACAAGUCUACAAAGUAAUGGUAUAAGACAACAAAUGACUAAGCUUUUCUCUAAAAUCAGGAACAACACAAGGGUGCCCACUCACACCCCUCUCAACAUAGUUCUAGAAGUCCUAAAGCAAUCAGGCAAGAAAAAGUAACAAAAGUUAACAGAAUUGGAAAGGAAAAAGUAAAAUUGUUUCUAUUUGCAGAUGAUAUGAUUUUUAUAGACAAAAUCCUGAAGACUCAACCAAAAAACUGUGAGGUCUAAUUCAUGAAUUCAAUAAAGUUUCAGUAUACAAAAUUCAUAUAUUAACAUGUAAAAAUCAGUAGUAUUUCUCUACACUAACAACAAAUUUUCUGAGAAAAAAAUUAAAAAGUCAAUACUAUUUAUACCAGCAUCAAAAAGAAUAAAAUACUUAGGAAUAAAUUUAACUAAGAAGGUGAAAAAUCUCUAUGCUGAAAACUAAGACAUGGAUGAAAGUAAUUGAAGAAGACACAAAUAAAUGAAAAGGUAGCCUGUGUUCAUGGAUUGGAAAAUUAAUGUUAAAAUGUCAAUACUACCAAAAGGCAUCUAUAGUUUCAAUGCAAUCCCUAUCAAGAUUCCAAUGACAUUUUUUUACAGAAGUAGAAAAAUUACUCCUAAAGUUUAUAAAGAACCACAGAAGACUCCAAAUAGCCAAAGAAAUCCUGAGAAAGAAGAACAAAACAGGAGAAUUCACACUUCCUGAUUUCAAGCUAUACUCUAAAGCUACAGUCAUCAAAACAGUGUGGUACCGGCAUAAAAACAGACAAAUAGACCAAUGAAAUAGAACCAAGGGCCUAGAAAUGAACCUAAGCAUAUAGAGUCGCUAAUAUUUGACAAGGAAGCCAAAAAUAGUUUAAAUAUAUGAUGUUGGGAUAUUUGCAUACUCCCACAUACAAGAAUGAAACUGGACCCGUAUCUUACACUACUCACAAAAAUCAACUCGAAAUGGAUUAAAGACUUAAAUGCAAGACCUAAAACUGUGAAAUUCCUAGAGGAAGGUAUAGUAAUAAGAUCUUCACCAUGGGUCCUGGUAAUGAUGUUUUGGAUAUCACACUGAAAGCAUAAGUCACAGAAUAAAAAUAAACAAGUGGGAUUAUGUCAAACUAAAAGGAUUUGUGCAGCAAAAGAAACCAUCAAUAAAGUGAAAAGACAACAUACAGAAUGGGAAAAAAUAUUUGCAAACAUGUGUCUGAUAAGAAAUUAAAUAAAAAUAUAUAUAAACAACUCCUUAGACUCCAUAAGGAAGUAAGAAUAAUAAUCUAAUUUAAAAAUAGGCAAAGGGACUGAAUAGACAUUUCACAAAAGAAGAUAUGUGAAAGGCCAGCAGGUGCAUGAAAAGAUGCUCCACAUCAUUUGUCAUGAGGGAAAUGCAAACUAAAAUCACUAUGAGGUAUAUCACCUCACACCUGUUAGAAGGGCUGUCGUCAAAAAGACAACAGAUAACAAACGUUGGUGAGGAUACAGAGCAAAGGGAACCCCUGUGCACUUUUGAUGGAAAUGUAAAUUGGUGCAGCCACUAUGGAAAACAGGAUUGAGGAUCCUCAAAAAGUGUGGGGCGCCUGGGUGGCUCAGUCCUUUGAAUGUCUGACUUUGCCUCAGAUCAUGAUCUUGCGGUUUGUGGGUUUGAGCCCCGCAUCAGUCUCUGUACUGAAAGCUCAGAACCUGGAGCCUGCUUCAGAUUCUGUGUCUCCCUCUCUCUCUGCCCCUCCCCUACAUGUGUUCUGUCU